AAUUAAGAUUUUCAUCUAUUUCUACUGCUAAAAACCGACGGAAUAACCAAACAAUUACACAUGGUGUGCUACGUGUACUCAUUUUGAUGUACAAGGACCAAUUUUUAUAAUAGAAAUGGAUGAAAUUUUUAACA
Molecule: non-coding RNA, 134 nt
Organism: Gossypium hirsutum (cotton)
Lineage: Eukaryota; Viridiplantae; Streptophyta; Magnoliopsida; Malvales; Malvaceae
Source: Rfam